RNA transcript from Triticum aestivum (bread wheat), 1577 nucleotides. It is a transcript of the gene named nuclear transcription factor Y subunit A-5-like, with no coding region annotated. The record is from RefSeq and is a predicted model, not a curated record. Lineage: Eukaryota; Viridiplantae; Streptophyta; Magnoliopsida; Poales; Poaceae. The transcript is spliced from 8 exons.
AUGGCCGUGACGCUCUCCACUCCAGCUAGCCCCCCGCUGCUAAAAAAAAAACUGAAAGCGACGCAUUCAGGGCGCGGAUGGCGACAAGAAGGGCUGCCGGCUGCCGCUUCUUCAGCGCGGGCCCUACUACGACGUGGUGAUGACACUGAUAGCGUAGCAGCGAUCUUGAAAAAAAGAAACAUGACGGCGAUAGCGUGGCAACCAUACUCUACUCCCCGCCAGCAAUGGCAAGCCAGAAAACAUCAAACAUCUCGGGCCGGGAGGAGACCGAUACAACUAAAAUACGUCGACGUGCCCACUCGCACUCGGGCCGGGCCAUUUCCAACUGCAUUUUUAUUUUAUUAUUACAUGCCCUCCCAGACUAGUCUCCCGAUCCAAGCAAGCAAGCCGUUGCUGUCAUGUCACCUCAGAGCUGACCUUUCGCCGGGCCGCUGUAAGCCUCUUGAACUGAGAGCAAGAGCAGAAGCCCAUGAGAUGAGACGCAAGCAAAAUAUGCAAGAAAAUGGCACAAUCAUGAUUCAGUUUGGUCAGCAAGUGCCUAACUGCGAGUCCUCAGCUAGCGAUUCUCCUCAAGAAGUGUCCGGAAUGAGCGAAGGGAGCUUUAAUGAGCAGAAUGAUCAAUCUGGUAAUCGCGAUGGCUAUACGAAGAGUAGUGAUGAAGGCAAGAUGAUGUCGGCUUUGUCUCUGGGCAAUUCAGAAAUGGCAUACACACCGCCAAAACCUGACCGCACUCAUCCCUUUGCCAUAUCAUACCCAUAUGCUGAUCCUUACUAUGGUGGUGCAGUGGCAGCCUAUGGCGCACAUGCUAUUAUGCACCCCCAGAUGGUGGGCAUGGUACCAUCCUCUCGAGUGCCACUACCGAUUGAACCAGCUGCCGCCGAAGAGCCCAUUUAUGUGAAUGCGAAGCAAUACCAUGCCAUUCUCCGAAGGAGACAGCUCCGCGCAAAAUUAGAGGCUGAAAAUAAGCUGGUCAAAAGCCGUAAGCCGUACCUGCAUGAGUCCCGGCACCAGCACGCGAUGAAGCGGGCUCGGGGAACAGGCGGGCGGUUCCUCAACGCAAAGGAGAAGUCUGAAGCUUCAGGCGGCGGCAAUGCAUCAGCGAGGUCUGGCCACGCCGGCGUUCCCCCGGAUGGCGGCAUGUUCUCGAAGCACGACCACACCUUACCAUCCGGUGACUUCCAUUACCGCGCGAGAGGGGGCGCCUAGGGUGGGCACGCAGUUGCCCCCUGGCAAAUCAUCCUUGGCUUAUGUGUGUGGCGAAUGACCGUCAACUCGGUCCAGUGAUAUUGUAAAACUGAAUUUAGAGUCUGUGCAAUUGUGUUACUUGGGGGUUUGGUAGACAGCCCUUGUGUUUGGGGAGGGGACGAUGCAGCUGCAGCUGCAGCCGGUUCUCUUGUUGUGGUAGGUUUGUGUGGCAUGGCAGGUGCUGCUAAGCUGGAGCCUGCUUGAACUGUUUUCCUGUCACUUUGUUGUUUGGGGUAAUAAUGACCAUCUUGUAUGAUAUUAGUACUGACUUGGAGUAAGUAAUAACCAUUCCCGGCGUGAUGCAUUUGCGCCCGUGGUGGUGUUUCUGUUGA